AAAGGAAUAGACGGGGGCCCGCACAAGCAGCGGAGCAUGUGGUUUAAUUCGAAGCAACGCGAAGAACCUUACCAGAACUUGACAUCCCCUGCAUAAUCCGUAAUGGGAUGAAAUCCUUCGGGACAGGGAGACAGGUGGUGCAUGGUUGUCGUCAGCUCGUGUCGUGAGAUGUUGGGUUAAGUCCCGCAACGAGCGCAACCCCUAUACCUUAGUUGCUACCAUUAAGUUGAGCACUCUAAGUAGACUGCCGGAGACAAUUCGGAGGAAGGUGGGGAUGACGUCAAAUCAUCAUGCCCCUUAUGUUCUGGGCUACACACGUGCUACAAUGGGCAAAACAACGGGACGCGAGAUAGUGAUAUUGAGCCAAUCCCUAAAAAAUGCUCUCAGUUCGGAUUGUAGGCUGCAACUCGCCUACAUGAAGUCGGAGUUGCUAGUAAUCGCGAAUCAUCAUGUCGCGGUGAAUACGUUCCCGGGCCUUGUACACACCGCCCGU
RNAcentral lists this ribosomal RNA (493 nucleotides) under uncultured bacterium. RNAcentral describes it as "bacterial SSU rRNA". It matches the Rfam family "Bacterial small subunit ribosomal RNA", at positions 903 to 1397 of the family's 1533-position model. The record is from RNAcentral.